This 253-nucleotide ribosomal RNA is filed under the name uncultured bacterium. RNAcentral describes it as "partial 16S ribosomal RNA". It matches the Rfam family "Bacterial small subunit ribosomal RNA", at positions 524 to 776 of the family's 1533-position model. The record is from RNAcentral.
UACAGAGGUCCCGAGCGUUGUUCGGAUUCACUGGGCGUAAAGGGUGCGUAGGUGGCAUGGUAAGUUUGAUGUGAAAGCUCAGGGCUCAACCCUGAAAUGGCAUUGAAUACUACUGUGCUGGAGGUUUGGAGGGGGGACUGGAAUUCUUGGUGUAGCAGUGAAAUGCGUAGAUAUCAAGAGGAACACCAGUGGCGAAGGCGGCAUCCUGGACCAAUAUUGACGCUGAGGAGCGAAAGCCAGGGGAGCAAACGGG